UAAGUUACUAGUUGAUUAUUGAUAACCUUGAGAAUUAGUUUGGUGGUUAGGCAAUUUAGUUAGUAAUAGUAGAUUGUUAGUGGAAUAAAUGGUUAAGAAUUCAAAGGGUCAUAAUCUUUGGAAUCCGGUGGCCGAUAGAUCAUCUUUUUGGUAGUAUAAAUAGGUUGAGAAAAGAGAGAUGAAGGCCAGACUGUGAGAGUCGUAAGUCAAGGGCCAGACUGUGAGAGUCGUAAGUUGAGGGCCAGAUUAUGAGAGUCAUAAGCCAAGGGCGAGAUUGUAAGAGUCGUAAGUCGAGAGUCAGACUGUGUGAGUCGUAAGUCAAGGUAAGCUUAGUACUACCUCUUUGUUUUCUUUGCUUUUAUUAUUUGCUUAUGAAGAAUUGUGAUUGAGAGAAGUAUUAUUGAAUUGAUAGUCGUAGAAUGGAUUAUGUGUUGAAUCAAGAUGGAAGUAGUAAGCCUUUGUAUUUUGUAGUUUGAUAAUUGAUUUGAGAUAGCCAGAGUACAGUCAAUUGUGAUACUAACAGACCCAAUUCAUAUAACUAGUCUUUCCUUGUGUUCGAACCCACCUCUAUUAGUUCAAUUGCUUUGAAAUACUGAAGCUUGAAUACAACGAGAAUAACAAAUAUUAAGCAAUGGAAGAUAUGCUUGUUGAUUUAUUGACAAAAGUAUUAGUAAAAAUAGACAUCACAUAUUAACAAAGGUAUUAGUAUUAAAAACCUUUAACUAAUAAUAAAGUAGAAGUAUUAAAAUAAAUAAAUAAAGAUAAAAAUAAAAUAACUUAUAUUAUAGAAGAUAUUACUUUAAAUAAGUUGUUAUUGGUCAAAGGAUUGGCUCUUGAUAUAUAAGAAGGCCAAAAA
This 856-nucleotide long non-coding RNA is filed under the name Physcomitrium patens. RNAcentral describes it as "long non-coding RNA (PPAT_LNC001906)". Lineage: Eukaryota; Viridiplantae; Streptophyta; Bryopsida; Funariales; Funariaceae. The record is from RNAcentral.